RNAcentral lists this long non-coding RNA (5129 nucleotides) under Sus scrofa (pig). RNAcentral's name for it is "lncRNA (ENSSSCG00000062682.1, ENSSSCG00085013860.1)". The record is from RNAcentral. Lineage: Eukaryota; Metazoa; Chordata; Mammalia; Artiodactyla; Suidae.
UAUAUAUAUAUAUAUAUAUAUAAAAACUUAUUCACUUGGCUAUACACCUGCAACUAAUACAACAUUGUAAGUCAAUUGCUGUCCAAUAAAAUUUUUAAAAUAAAUAAAAUUAUGCUAUAAACUAAAAGAAAAAACCAAAACACCAAGUUAGUGAAUGCAAGUAUAAGCAAGUUCCAAAAUUCAUAAUUUGAUCCAAGGAAAAAAAAUACUGCUAAAUAGACCAGUUGGGCCAGAAUUGAGACAGAUAAGAAUAAAACAAACAAACAAACAGGAAAAAGCAGGAGUUCUCAUUGUGGCUCAGCAAGUUAAGAAUCCGACACGGUGUUCAUGAGGAUGCCUGUUUAUUCCCCAGCCUCACUCAGUGGGUUAAGGAUCCAGCCUUGUUGCGAACUGCAGCGUAGGUGGCAGAUGCAGCUCUUAUCCUGCAUUGCUGUGGCUCUGGUGUAGGCCUGCAGCUGCAGCUCCAGUUUGACCUCUAGCCCAGGAACUUCAUCUGCUGCAGGUGCAGCUAUAAAAAGAAAGGAAGAAGGAAAAAAUCAUUUUGUGAAAGAGCACUAGCAAAGAAUGGUAAUGAGGAAUCAUUUCCUGCCCUGUUGCAACCUCCGCUCACUUUGUUUCGAGUGGCAGUGACUAAGACACAUUCAGAAGGAUGGCUGACAGAAAGGGGAAAUCAUGACAAAUCUGACAAAGACAAGGCUGUUAUGGAUGGAGGAAAGAGUCGUAUUCCUUCUUCACGUUAAGCUCCAAAAUAUUUGUCCAGUUGGAAAUUUAGCGCUGGGGUCGGGGGAGAUCCCAAGCAUUGGACUGAGAUUGAUCUGAGAUUGAUGUUUUCCACCAAAAUGAUGAUUUGAGAGGCAUCAAGCUGCACUUUCUUCUUCUUUGUUCAGCUGAGCCGGGAACACCAACCUUUUUCCUUAGUUGAACUCUACUCUCUUCAAUAGAGAACUGAUGAAAAAAUGCACAUAAAAUUAUUUGAAGUCUAAAAAUUAUAAAGACCUUGCCAUAAGAGAAAUAGUUAAUUUUUCUGAAAGUGUUUUAUCACCACUGUUCAUCCAUAACCUAAUUACCCUGUUUCAAGUAGAUGAAUCUCAAGCAAGCGAUUCAAAUAAACGAAUGGCCUGAUGGAUUUUUUUUUUACUGUGUAGCUGAACUCUCUGAUAUCUUUGUAAUUCUCUGCUCCGCUGACAGCCCAGGCCUUGCUUGGUGAGCAAUACCCUGGGAAAUUGGAGCUAUACAUUCAGAGGAAAAAAAAAAAUCAUAGCUGAAGACAGACAUUAAGUGGAAUGGGUAACAGGACUGCUAUAAAGAAAGAAAGAAAGAAGGCUUUGUGAAUGGGCCCCCAUUUUUUGCAGGGGGUUGGGCCUCCGUUUUUUGCAGGCAGGAGAGAAGAUUCCACAAAUACAUCGCAUCUCUAGACCAGGAUGGACAAGGACACAGUCACCAGACAAACCAGAAGAUAACGUGUUUUAGUCCCUGAGUUCCAACCUACUGGUUUUGUUAUUUUUAUUUCCAUGGCAACAUUCUCAAAUUUUCUUGAAUUUUUUUUAUUACGGGUUUCUUUGUUUUCUCUUCAUUGACAUAUGAUUUUCUGUGUUUCUUUCAUCAAAUACCUUGAGUUCAUAAUGCACUGUAAGAGAAGGAGAGACUGUGCUUCCUGGCUUCUCCCCUUAAAUUGCUUGAAAUCUAUUCGAGGAGGAAACCGUCAUGAGUGAUAAAACCCAGAAAAUGAUGGACCAUGACCUGCACGGUUCACACUUUAGAGUUAAGAGAGUCUGGGUAUCAAGGCCUAUUGGCAUUAAAGGGGGACACUGCUUGAAAGAAAUGCCACCUCACUGGAAGAAUGCAGUGGACCUGCUUAAGCCAAACAUGCAGACCUCCACAGCCAUUCCUUCUGGGGGAAGAUGCUGAUGGAGGGGCCCCAUCGAAUCUGCCCCUGCUGUCCCCUCAGUGACUUCUCCAGCCACUCUCCCCUUUGUCAUCAUGUGCUUGCCGUCCACACCACCCUGAAUGCUCUUUUUUCCACUCGCAAGCCAUAAGUGUCCCCUUUUUUUACGAUACUUAUUCAUAAAUACCAUACCAUUAGAAAGGUUUUCCAUGACUGUCUUAUAAAAAUACAGCAUACCUGUCCUCCUCCCCUCCUUAUCAUACUGUUUAUUGUUUUUCUGUCCCCAGCAGGUUAAAAGCACUCUGAGGGCAGAGUUGGUUUUUGUUUGUUUAGUUUUGUUUUUCCUGUUCUACAAACUGCUAUAACCUCAGUACCUUAGAACAAUGCCAGGCACAUAUUAGGCAUUCAACAUAAAUUUGAGGAAGAAAGGAAGGAUGGAAGGGAAGGAGGGAGGGAGAGAAGGAGGAAAUUAGAUCAACGAAGGGACCAAUUUCAGGAAGAACUUGAAAGCUUCAGGUGUUUCCAUUGUAAAGUUGAAGCCACUGGGUGUUAUUUCAUUGUCUGCUAAGUAAUCCAAAGUAGACUUACUAAUAAACUGCAAAGCUGCUUGCCUGUGAAUUCCUUGCCAGGUAAUAUUAACAUCUAACCUUUCUUUUCCUUCAAAUAUUGAUCAGUAGCUCAAAUUUUAACAAAAGCCAUGGUUUCUUUGACACAGCAGGGACUGUGUUCAUAUCCUAUUUGUCAAUGGGAAAAAUAAAUAAAUAAAACAGCUGAAAAGGUGAAAGAUUAUCAUGCAACCCCAAAUUUAAGUGGGAGAAAUCACUCUGCUACUUCUUCCUAGCCAAGGACCUCAAAGAUUCUGCCCCAAGCCAUUUUCAACUGGAAUUUUAAGAUUAUGUACACCAGCCUGCAAAACCAGCCUGACAUAAACAUAUCAUCUGAUGCCCAGGAAUAUUUCCUUCUUCCUUCAACAUGAGUAAUUUAUUGGCUUUCUACCUGCUGUUACCAAACUCACAUUAAUGAUUCAUUUAUUAGUCUCAAAAACAGAUGCUCAUAAUUAAAUCACAGGUUCUAUAAGAUCAUUAGUCCUCUAAUGGCUGAAAGAAUUAUGAAGAAAUUUUGCAGUUUAAAAUCAUCAAUUCAGGAAGGAAUAUGGGAAGCUUUUUCUGUACAGUUAUGAUAUUUCUGUGUUGUUCUCUUUUCUGAUAGAAAUUCCUCAUCUUCUAAAUUGCUGUUAUUAGAGAACUUAUUUUAGUUUCUUUAACACUAGCAGAUUUAUUAUUCAAUUCUAACCACAGCAAUUCUGACUCAGACGGCUAGUGGAGUGUAGCUUUGUUGCUUGUUCAAAUUCCUUAUGGCUUUUUGUUUUAUGCCUGAGUUUAGUCUUAUUAGAAUUUCUCAGAAAUCACGUAAUUUAUGUUGGUGAAGCAGUAUUGCGUUAUUUGUGACAGAACAUGCUUUGUUAAUUAUACCACAUAGGUUUUCACAUACACAAAGUUUUCUUUAAGUUUUGUAGCUGCUUGGGAAAUAUGAUAGAUAUUUUAUUUCCAUUACUCUUUUUAUCUCUGCCCUGUUCUCAGCUGAAAUUACUGCUUAUAUAUUUAUCCGCCUGAACUGUGAAAUUGAGGGAAGCUGAAUAUGUACAAUCUUUUUUUCAUACACAUUACUUUGUCCUACAUAAAGAAUUUAUUUAUAGAGGAAGGUGAUGGAUAGUAUAACCUAAAGUCACAUUUUCUUCUUAUGUCUGCCUCUGAAUCCAAACCCGGGGGUGCCUGCUACAAAAUCCAGUACAUUUCUAUUUUAGAAUCUUCCCUCUCCUGUAAUGGCCAGAGACUGGGUGAACAACAAACCCUCAAAGUUUAAAUGUCCAUAGACGGUCUGGUUCUGCCGCAAUGUAGCUCACAAGCUAAAUCACCUGAAAUGUUUCAGAGACGUUUGUGUUUGGAUUUAUAUUUAAGACAUGAAGAAAAAAAAAAAAAAAAAAAGGUAUCCUCAAACGUAUUAUCCUCACUCCUCAUGUUACUGAUAGUCUAAUUAUUUCUAGUUACAGUUUGCUCAGAAACUCUUCUCAUAAAAUCCACUUUGGGAUAUUAAGUGUUAAAGAACCAGUGAGCAAAGGAAUAUUUAAUGGUAACCAUUUGUGUGUUUAACAUCUGUGUGUUCAACAGAAUGCCAUCUUUCUAGCCAAUUUACAGCACGCGUCUUUCAGUGCCAUUCUCCAAAGGAAAAUAAGCAAUAUGUUAGCAGUAUACCAUAUUUGGAUACUGUUGAAAAGACACAGUAGCACGUUUAACUGAAACUCCAUAGGUUAAAGAGUUGGGCGAUGGUCUGAAAUUGGGUAAUAUUGAAAAAAAAAUGAGAACCUAAUAAGGAAAUGUAGAUAUUCCAUGUGCCUACUUCAUGCUACUCCGACUCCGACUCCUCAUUUACUGUUUGGACACAAGAGCUAUUCUUUGAUCUUGCGCAAAGGCGAUUGUCAAUGGGAUGCUGCCUUGGCCGGGAUAGGAGUUAUCAGAUAUCUUGAAAUGAUGUAUAGUAUUAUAGGAUAGGCGUUAACCCCCGCAAGAAACUGUGGGUGGAUUCAGGCAAAAUUUUCUAUUGGCAGGAUGCACCCCUUCUUACUGGUCUGGGUAGAAAAAAGAAGAUUUCCGGUUUACUGUAGAGCAAAAACCAUUUCCUGCAGGCAGUACAAAUACACCAGCACAGGGUGAGCACCGCUCUGGUACAAAACUGUUGAAAGAAAAGAAAAAGUCAUUGUUCUAAAAAUAUGUAAAGCAGCACUGAUCACAUGUAUUUUUUUUUUUCAAGUUGAGGCCACCCUACAUUAAGACAAAUUCUUGUGUCUAGGUUUUCUCCAAAAGGUCAUUUGUGCUGGAUGCAGAAGACUCGAAAUUUCCCUGAGCAUCUUUGACCAUACAUUUUACCAUGCUUCGGCUUUUGGCAGUUUUGAUAUUCAUUACUGAUUAUUAGUAUCAUUAUUUAAAUACAAAUAUUGUCCCCCCUCCCAUUAUGAGAAGCUAUUAUAAACAUAUAUGGAUUUCUAUAAAGGUUGAUGACUAUAUGCUUUUUUAUAUUAGAAAAUCAUGUGAAAACAAAAUUAAUCUGAAGAAUGCUGUUAAUUAUUUUAACUUUUUUAUUAGGUAUAAAAUGUUCAUAAGAUUAUUCUCUCUAUAACUUACCAAGAUUUAUCAGCUUGUGUAAUUUUUAUAAUCAAGAGGAGUCUGGUUUUCUAAUUAAAGUUUUG